This 465-nucleotide ribosomal RNA is filed under the name uncultured bacterium. RNAcentral describes it as "partial 16S ribosomal RNA". It matches the Rfam family "Bacterial small subunit ribosomal RNA", at positions 28 to 507 of the family's 1533-position model. The record is from RNAcentral.
GACGAACGCUGGCGGCGUGCUUAACACAUGCAAGUCGAACGGAAAGGCCCCUUUGGGGGUACUCGAGUGGCGAACGGGUGGGUAACACGUGAGUAACCUGCCCUUGACUUCGGGAUAACUUCAGGAAACUGGGGCUAAUACCGGAUAGGAAUCCUUGCUGCAUGGUGGGGGUUGGAAAGCUUCGGCGGUUUUGGAUGGACUCGCGGCUUAUCAGCUUGUUGGUGGGGUAGUGGCUUACCAAGGCUUUGACGGGUAGCCGGCCUGAGAGGGCGACCGGCCACAUUGGGACUGAGAUACGGACCAGACUCCUACGGGAGGCAGCAGUGGGGAAUAUUGCACAAUGGGCGGAAGCCUGAUGCAGCAACGCCGCGUGCGGGAUGACGGCCUUCGGGUUGUAAACCGCUUUCAGCAGGGGCGAAGCUUGUGGUGACGGUACCUGCAGAAGAAGCACCGGCUAACUACGUG